RNAcentral lists this transfer RNA (73 nucleotides) under Heliconius melpomene (postman butterfly). Its description in RNAcentral is "tRNA HMEL004858". It matches the Rfam family "tRNA". From Rfam's summary of the family: Transfer RNA (tRNA) molecules are approximately 80 nucleotides in length. Their secondary structure includes four short double-helical elements and three loops (D, anti-codon, and T loops). The record is from RNAcentral. Lineage: Eukaryota; Metazoa; Arthropoda; Insecta; Lepidoptera; Nymphalidae.
GAAUGUAUGGCUCAGUUGGUCAGAGCGCUUGGACAGUUUCUGAAAGGUGAGGGUUCAAAUCCCGCUACGUUCA